Long non-coding RNA from Centrocercus urophasianus (Greater sage-grouse), 433 nucleotides. RefSeq lists it as uncharacterized. NCBI's taxonomy places the organism in Eukaryota, Metazoa, Chordata, Aves, Galliformes, Phasianidae. The record is from RefSeq and is a predicted model, not a curated record. The transcript is spliced from 3 exons.
CUCGGGCGGCUUGAAGAAGGAGUCGGGCAGCUUGCGGAGCCGCAUGGGCAGCGUGUGCGGCACGUUGGCGCCCUUGGGGUUCAUCACGGCGUUGAAGAGCGCCUCCAGGCAUACAGGUAAUCUGCAGAUGGCUGAAACGUGCAGCAUAAAGCUGAAAUAAGGAUAUUGCUGAGCAUCUCAGAACAGCACCGCUUCACCGUCAGUUUAAAAGAAGUGUUGAAGGAGCCAUUUAUCACACCGAUUCCCAGCACCGCUACAGUUGGGGUUCAGAAAUAUGAGAGUAAGAGACGAAGGAAGCUUAAAGCACAUGAAGAACUCUCAUGCACUCUGCUACAGGAUUGGGAAGAAAGGAAAAAAACAUCCCUACCACACAGGCAAAAGGGCACAGUGUGAGAAGAAGUGAUGAAGUAUCUGUCUAAUCAGAAGAAAUAAA